This is a non-coding RNA of Carica papaya (papaya), 483 nucleotides long. The record is from RefSeq and is a predicted model, not a curated record. NCBI's taxonomy places the organism in Eukaryota, Viridiplantae, Streptophyta, Magnoliopsida, Brassicales, Caricaceae.
AAACUCUAGUGCUAACCCAUUCUGCAUCGGAGAGGACAUAUUGGCCAGAGUUCUAAAAGCAAAGAGCUUGGCAAGAUGAAAGGCUAGCCAAUAAGACAGAGGAAGACCCUUCAUUCCCUCGACAAGCCACUAUCUUACAGCCAGUAAUAACAACAGAUAUCUGGGGACCCUUCCACUUGCAAAUCCACUAAACAUUGGACGUAAAUGACAAUCGGAGAUCAAUGGGAUUGCUUUAUAUUGGGGUCCCUACUUUCAUGGGCUGAAGCUUGAACCAGACCUUGAUACCAAGAAGGUAUUGGCAAGAACUAGACAGUAAUCAACCCAUACGAGAACAGACGCCCAUACUGGUGUGUCUCAAGGUAAAUUCGAUAUGGAAUCAAACUGCUAACAGAAGCAGCCUAGCUUUGGUUACACUAGACCCUGAUUUCUUCAACUAUGACAGUACUAUAUUUUCUUCCACUGUUAGGUUUAUGAAAUCAAAAU